Hevea brasiliensis (rubber tree) is the source of this 107-nucleotide small nucleolar RNA. The record is from RefSeq and is a predicted model, not a curated record. Lineage: Eukaryota; Viridiplantae; Streptophyta; Magnoliopsida; Malpighiales; Euphorbiaceae.
AGCCCAUGGUGUGGACACCUUCUCUCCAAAUCCUUAAACCUAUCCCAAGCUUUAUAAAGUGUUUCCAUAUCCAUCCGAGUAAACAUCUAGAUUUCAUUUCUCAGUUU